UAACCUGCCCAAGAGAUCGGGAUAACACCUGGAAACAGAUGCUAAUACCGGAUAACAACAGAUGAUGCCUAUCAACUGUUUAAAAGAUGGUUCUGCUAUCACUAUUGGAUGGACCUGCGGUGCAUUAGCUAGUUGGUAGGGUAACGGCCUACCAAGGCGAUGAUGCAUAGCCGAGUUGAGAGACUGAUCGGCCACAUUGGGACUGAGACACGGCCCAAACUCCUACGGGAGGCAGCAGCG
RNAcentral lists this ribosomal RNA (240 nucleotides) under uncultured Lactobacillus sp. RNAcentral's name for it is "partial 16S ribosomal RNA". It matches the Rfam family "Bacterial small subunit ribosomal RNA", at positions 122 to 356 of the family's 1533-position model. Lineage: Bacteria; Bacillati; Bacillota; Bacilli; Lactobacillales; Lactobacillaceae. The record is from RNAcentral.